ACUCUCCAGAUUCCUUCCCCAUCAGAUAUAACCACUGGUCUGAGUGGUCAUAAAAGGAGGAAUAGGAACACUGAAACGGACUUACAUCCAAGCUUGGUUCAAACAAAG
Molecule: small nucleolar RNA, 108 nt
Filed under: Echinops telfairi (small Madagascar hedgehog)
Lineage: Eukaryota; Metazoa; Chordata; Mammalia; Afrosoricida; Tenrecidae
Description: Small nucleolar RNA SNORA61 (ENSETEG00000024293.1)
Rfam family: Small nucleolar RNA SNORA61
About the family: ACA61 is a member of the H/ACA class of snoRNA that guide the sites of modification of uridines to pseudouridines.
Source: RNAcentral